This 77-nucleotide transfer RNA is filed under the name Kutzneria viridogrisea. Its description in RNAcentral is "tRNA-Thr". It matches the Rfam family "tRNA". From Rfam's summary of the family: Transfer RNA (tRNA) molecules are approximately 80 nucleotides in length. Their secondary structure includes four short double-helical elements and three loops (D, anti-codon, and T loops). Further hydrogen bonds mediate the characteristic L-shaped molecular structure. tRNAs have two regions of fundamental functional importance: the anti-codon, which is responsible for specific mRNA codon recognition, and the 3' end, to which the tRNAs corresponding amino acid is attached (by aminoacyl-tRNA synthetases). tRNAs cope with the degeneracy of the genetic code in two manners: having more than one tRNA (with a specific anti-codon) for a particular amino acid; and 'wobble' base-pairing, i.e. permitting non-standard base-pairing at the 3rd anti-codon position. Lineage: Bacteria; Bacillati; Actinomycetota; Actinomycetes; Pseudonocardiales; Pseudonocardiaceae. RNAcentral also lists the same sequence under 10 other names. The record is from RNAcentral.
GCCGCCUUAGCUCAGUCGGCCAGAGCAGCUCACUCGUAAUGAGCAGGUCGUCGGUUCGAUUCCGACAGGCGGCUCCA